This 430-nucleotide ribosomal RNA is filed under the name Pseudomonadota bacterium. RNAcentral describes it as "Proteobacteria bacterium partial 16S ribosomal RNA". It matches the Rfam family "Bacterial small subunit ribosomal RNA", at positions 355 to 776 of the family's 1533-position model. Lineage: Bacteria; Pseudomonadati; Pseudomonadota. The record is from RNAcentral.
UGGGGAAUAUUGGACAAUGGGGGGAACCCUGAUCCGGCCAUGCCGCGUGUGUGAAGAAGGCCUUAUGGUUGUAAAGCACUUUAAGCGAGGAGGAGGGUACUGGUAUUAAUACUACCAGGUACUGGACGUUACUCGCAGAAUAAGCACCGGCUAACUCUGUGCCAGCAGCCGCGGUAAUACAGAGGGUGCGAGCGUUAAUCGGAUUUACUGGGCGUAAAGCGUGCGUAGGCGGCUAAUUGAGUCGGAUGUGAAAUCCCCGAGCUUAACUUGGGAAUUGCAUUCGAUACUGGUUAGCUAGAGUGUGGGAGAGGAUGGUAGAAUUCCAGGUGUAGCGGUGAAAUGCGUAGAGAUCUGGAGGAAUACCGAUGGCGAAGGCAGCCAUCUGGCCUAACACUGACGCUGAGGUACGAAAGCAUGGGGAGCAAACAGG